Molecule: ribosomal RNA, 467 nt
Filed under: uncultured bacterium
Lineage: Bacteria
Description: partial 16S ribosomal RNA
Rfam family: Bacterial small subunit ribosomal RNA (bases 12-372)
Source: RNAcentral
ACGAACGCUGGCGGCGUGCUUAACACAUGCAAGUCGAACGGAAAGGCCCUGCUUUUGUGGGGUGCUCGAGUGGCGAACGGGUGAGUAACACGUGAGUAACCUGCCCUUGACUUUGGGAUAACUUCAGGAAACUGGGGCUAAUACCGGAUAGGAGCUCCUGCUGCAUGGUGGGGGUUGGAAAGUUUCGGCGGUUGGGGAUGGACUCGCGGCUUAUCAGCUUGUUGGUGGGGUAGUGGCUUACCAAGGCUUUGACGGGUAGCCGGCCUGAGAGGGUGACCGGCCAAAUGGGGAAUGAAAACGGGCCCGGACUCGUCGGGGAGGAAGAAGGGGGAAAUGUGGCAGAAGGGGCGGAGGCGGGAGGCGCCACCGCCGGGGGGGGAAGGAGGGCUUUCGGUUUGUACCCGGGUUGCGCCUGGGAGAAGGGGGGGGGGAGGAAAAGGGUAAAAAAGGCCCGGAAAAAUAACGUC